Molecule: small nuclear RNA, 167 nt
Filed under: Oryza punctata
Lineage: Eukaryota; Viridiplantae; Streptophyta; Magnoliopsida; Poales; Poaceae
Description: snRNA U2
Rfam family: U2 spliceosomal RNA
About the family: U2 is a small nuclear RNA (snRNA) component of the spliceosome (involved in pre-mRNA splicing).
Source: RNAcentral
UUUUCUAUUACUUUUAAUAAGUUAAUAGAUAUCUGAUAUGUGGGCCAUGUGCUCACUUCGAUAUUAAAUUUAUUUUUUGUGGGGGAGAGUUCACCACAGUGGCUUGCCACUAGGAAUCUCUUAUGUCACCUUGGUUUUGCACUAUCUCCAAGGCUGGCGCACCCCAA